Non-coding RNA from Phalacrocorax carbo (great cormorant), 651 nucleotides. Lineage: Eukaryota; Metazoa; Chordata; Aves; Suliformes; Phalacrocoracidae. The record is from RefSeq and is a predicted model, not a curated record.
GCGGGGUACUUUGGAGGCAGUGGCACAUGAUGUGUAGCCCUGCUGCUUACGGACUACUUCUCGAAUUAUCUCUCCUUGGCAGAGAUUCUCUGGGACCGGCAAAUACCGUGCUUGCAGAUGUUGCAGGAUUUGCAGCCAGGAAGGACUCCUAGUGACUGCUGUGGUAAAUCCUUGAAAUCCUGCAGCUCGUUGUUGAUGCGAACAUCGUGAAUACAUCCAUGAAAACCAUUUGGUGUCUUAUCUGCACCCUGGCGCAGUGAAGAUAAUCCAGUAGAGUGACUGUUUGUGGCACUUCCAUUGUAGUCUUCAACCACAACGUCUUGGUGCCAGCCAGUGCUGAAAGCUUCAGAAAUGACAAACAGCUUGCUCUUGCCAUAGCCGUAUGACAGAGAAACUGCCUGUGCUGUGCUGAGGUUAACUGCCCUGCUCUGGCAUGCGAGCUUGUGCUUGUCAUGUGGUGGGGUGCUAGUGGACUAUGGAGUAUGAUGCAGAACAGCAGAAGUGUGGAAACAAGGAAGGGGAAAGGCAAGCUGCUAGUUUGCGCCUACCCUCCCUCCCCCGGCAGGUCCUCCCCAAGGGCUGGAAGAUGAUUUGCUUCUGAGAGGACAUGUUAAGAUCUCAAAGUCCAGAGCAACUCAGUAUACCUCCAAU